Parelaphostrongylus tenuis is the source of this 72-nucleotide non-coding RNA. Lineage: Eukaryota; Metazoa; Nematoda; Chromadorea; Rhabditida; Metastrongylidae. The record is from the annotation of a GenBank genome assembly.
GGUCCCGUAGUGUAGCGCUUAACACCCUGGACUCUGAACCCACUAACGCGAGUUCGAAUCUGGCCGGGACCU